Molecule: ribosomal RNA, 464 nt
Filed under: uncultured bacterium
Lineage: Bacteria
Description: partial 16S ribosomal RNA
Rfam family: Bacterial small subunit ribosomal RNA
Source: RNAcentral
CUACGGGGGGCUGCAGCGGGGAAUAUUGCACAAUGGGCGCAAGCCUGAUGCAGCCAUGCCGCGUGUAUGAAGAAGGCCUUCGGGUUGUAAAGUACUUUCAGCGGGGAGGAAGGGAGUAAAGUUAAUACCUUUGCUCAUUGACGUUACCCGCAGAAGAAGCACCGGCUAACCCCGUGCCAGCAGCCGCGGUAAUACGGAGGGUGCAAGCGUUAAUCGGAAUUACUGGGCGUAAAGCGCACGCAGGCGGUUUGUUAAGUCAGAUGUGAAAUCCCCGGGCUCAACCUGGGAACUGCAUCUGACACUGGCAAGCUUGAGUCUCGUAGAGGGGGGUAGAAUUCCAGGUGUAGCGGUGAAAUGCGUAGAGAUCUGGAGGAAUACCGGUGGCGAAGGCGGCCCCCUGGACGAAGACUGACGCUCAGGUGCGAAAGCGUGGGGAGCAAACAGGAUUAGAUACCCGAGUAGUC